AUGAAGCUCCUGAUCGAAGGCAAGUCUCAGAAGGUGUGCUUCGCCGAGGCCGGCAGCGAGUUCGUCGAGUUCCUCACCGGCCUCCUGUCCCUGCCGCUAGGCACCGUCACCACCCUGCUGACCAAGGAGCGCAUGUCGGGCAGCAUCGGCAACGUGCUCGGCAGCAUGGAGAAGCUCGACGCAAACUACAAGAGCAGCGAGCUGCCCCUCAGCCCGGCGGUCGCCCCCGCCGCGCUCUCCCGCCUGCAGCAGCUGCUGGGCAUGCAGCUCGGCAACGCCAGCAACAACAACACCAACGGCGUCACCUAUUUAUAA
Molecule: ribosomal RNA, 315 nt
Filed under: Triticum aestivum (bread wheat)
Lineage: Eukaryota; Viridiplantae; Streptophyta; Magnoliopsida; Poales; Poaceae
Description: partial small subunit ribosomal RNA
Source: RNAcentral